Molecule: unclassified non-coding RNA, 345 nt
Filed under: soil metagenome
Description: partial contains 5.8S ribosomal RNA, internal transcribed spacer 2, and large subunit ribosomal RNA
Rfam family: 5.8S ribosomal RNA (bases 1-119)
Source: RNAcentral
GAUGAAGAACGCAGCGAAAUGCGAUACGUAAUGUGAAUUGCAAAUUCAGUGAAUCAUCGAGUCUUUGAACGCACAUUGCGCCCCCUGGUAUUCCGGGGGGCAUGCCUGUCCGAGCGUCAUUGCUGCCCUCAAGCACGGCUUGUGUGUUGGGCCCCGUCCUCCGAUUCCGGGGGACGGGCCCGAAAGGCAGCGGCGGCACCGCGUCCGGUCCUCGAGCGUAUGGGGCUUUGUCACCCGCUCUGUAGGCCCGGCCGGCGCUUGCCGAUCAACCCAAAUUUUUAUCCAGGUUGACCUCGGAUCAGGAAGGGAUACCCGCUGAACUUAAGCAUAUCAAUAAGCGGAGGA